UGAACGCUGGCGGCGUGCUUAACACAUGCAAGUCGAACGAACCUUCGGGUUAGUGGCGGACGGGUGAGUAACGCGUGAGAAUCUGCCCUCAGGAGGGGGAUAACGGCUGGAAACGGCCGCUAAUACCCCAUAUGCCGAGAGGUGAAAUGAAUUUCGCCUGAGGAUGAGCUCGCGUCUGAUUAGCUAGUUGGUGGGGUAAGAGCCUACCAAGGCAUCGAUCAGUAGCUGGUCUGAGAGGAUGAUCAGCCACACUGGGACUGAGACACGGCCCAGACUCCUACGGGGGGCAGCAGUGGGGAAUUUUUCCGCAAUGGGCGCAAGCCUGACGGAGCAACGCCGCGUGAGGGAUGAAGGCCUCUGGGCUGUAAACCUCUUUUAUCAAGGAAGAAGAUCUGACGGUACUUGAUGAAUAAGCCACGGCUAAUUCCGUGCCAGCAG
Molecule: ribosomal RNA, 438 nt
Filed under: uncultured bacterium
Lineage: Bacteria
Description: bacterial SSU rRNA
Rfam family: Bacterial small subunit ribosomal RNA
Source: RNAcentral